This 632-nucleotide ribosomal RNA is filed under the name uncultured Ascomycota. Its description in RNAcentral is "SSU rRNA". It matches the Rfam family "Eukaryotic small subunit ribosomal RNA", at positions 505 to 1142 of the family's 1831-position model. The record is from RNAcentral. Lineage: Eukaryota; Fungi; Ascomycota.
GUAAUCGGAAUGAGUACAAUUUAAAUCCCUUAACGAGGAACAAUUGGAGGGCAAGUCUGGUGCCAGCAGCCGCGGUAAUUCCAGCUCCAAUAGCGUAUAUUAAAGUUGUUGUGGUUAAAAAGCUCGUAGUUGAACCUUGGGCCUGGCUGGCCGGUCCGCCUCACCGCGUGCACUGGUCCGGCCGGGCCUUUCCCUCUGCGGAACCCCAUGCCCUUCACUGGGUGUGGCGGGGAAACAGGACUUUUACUUUGAAAAAAUUAGAGUGCUCAAGGCAGGCCUAUGCUCGAAUACAUUAGCAUGGAAUAAUAGAAUAGGACGUGUGGUUCUAUUUUGUUGGUUUCUAGGACCGCCGUAAUGAUUAAUAGGGACAGUCGGGGGCAUCAGUAUUCAAUUGUCAGAGGUGAAAUUCUUGGAUUUAUUGAAGACUAACUACUGCGAAAGCAUUUGCCAAGGAUGUUUUCAUUAAUCAGGAACGAAAGUUAGGGGAUCGAAGACGAUCAGAUACCGUCGUAGUCUUAACCAUAAACUAUGCCGACUAGGGAUCGGACGAUGUUACAUUUUUGACGCGUUCGGCACCUUACGAGAAAUCAAAGUGCUUGGGCUCCAGGGGGAGUAUGGUCGCAAGGCUGAAA